GAAUAUGACAUCAGAAUAGAUAACCAUCAGUUUUGUUCUCCAAGAUGGGUUUUUACAUUUAAAAUAUCCUGUAUAUGAACAUACUAGCUAACAACUUUGCAAAUGAGGAUGGAGAUUUUGAUUGAAAGGAGGAUGGUUUGAUGGAUGCUCUCCUGGGCAGGAAAUUCUCUUGUGUUGAGACACUUUGAGCUCUGUGAACAUGCAGAUUUAGCUGGAAUAACAGGCAACAGCCAGGGUGUCAGCUUUCAGGUUCCAAGGAUUUGCCUACUGCAGAAGGACCCAUAGAGAAAACAAGUGACAUGAAAUUUUAUUUAGGUUUGUAUGUUUUUACUUUUUCAUUAUUAGCAGCCUUGUUUCAAAGAGAAGCAAAAACAAAAAACCCCCAACUCUUACAUUUAAAGGUAACUAUUGCUUU
This 415-nucleotide long non-coding RNA is filed under the name Crocodylus porosus (Australian saltwater crocodile). RNAcentral describes it as "lncRNA (ENSCPRG00005013058.1)". The record is from RNAcentral. Lineage: Eukaryota; Metazoa; Chordata; Crocodylia; Crocodylidae.